GUGGGGAAUAUUGGACAAUGGGCGCAAGCCUGAUCCAGCCAUGCCGCGUGAGUGAUGAAGGCCUUAGGGUUGUAAAGCUCUUUCACCGAUGAAGAUAAUGACGGUAGUCGGAGAAGAAGCCCCGGCUAACUUCGUGCCAGCAGCCGCGGUAAUACGAAGGGGGCUAGCGUUGUUCGGAUUUACUGCGCGUAAAGCGCACGUAGGCGGUUUGUUAAGUCAGGGGUGAAAUCCCGGAGCUCAACUCCGGAACUGCCUUUGAUACUGGCAAGCUAGAGUCCGGAAGAGGUAAGUGGAACUCCUAGUGUAGAGGUGGAAUUCGUAGAUAUUAGGAAGAACACCAGUGGCGAAGGCGGCUUACUGGUCCGGAACUGACGCUGAGGUGCGAAAGCGUGGGGAUCAAACAGGAUUAGAAACCCCGGUAGUCC
RNAcentral lists this ribosomal RNA (425 nucleotides) under uncultured bacterium. RNAcentral's name for it is "partial 16S ribosomal RNA". It matches the Rfam family "Bacterial small subunit ribosomal RNA", at positions 354 to 796 of the family's 1533-position model. The record is from RNAcentral.